This 914-nucleotide ribosomal RNA is filed under the name uncultured archaeon. Its description in RNAcentral is "bacterial SSU rRNA". It matches the Rfam family "Archaeal small subunit ribosomal RNA", at positions 1 to 923 of the family's 1478-position model. The record is from RNAcentral.
UCCGGUUGAUCCUGCCRGCGGCCACCGCUAUUGGGUUUCGCUUAAGCCAUGCGAGUCGAGAGGGUUCGGCCCUCGGCAGACUGCUCAGUAACACGUGGAGAACUUGCCCUACGCUGGAGGAUAAUCUCGGGAAACUGAGGACAAUACUCCAUAGCCUAUCCUUCCUGGAACGGUGGAUAGGUGAAAGCUCCGGCGGCGUAGGAUAGCUCUGCGGCCUAUCAGGUUGUAGCGAGGGUAACGUCCUCGCUAGCCUACGACGGGUAUGGGUGUUGGGAGACAUCGCCCAGAGAUGGAUUCUGAGACACGAAUCCAGGCCCUACGGGGCGCAGCAGGCGCGAAAACUGCACAAUGUGGGCAACCACGAUGCGGGAAACCCAAGUGCCAGCACUAUGUGUUGGCUGUCCUCGACUGUUUGUAGGUCGGGAAGAAAGAGCUGGGUAAGACGGGUGCCAGCCGCCGCGGUAAUACCCGCAGCUCAAGUGGUGGUCAUUAUUAUUGGGCCUAAAGCGUCCGUAGCUGGCCUGUUAGAUGCCUGGGUAAAUCGAUGCGCUCAACGUAUCGACUUCCGGGUAGACCGGCAGGCUCGGGACCGGGAGAGGCGUGAGCUACUCGAGGGGUAGGGGUAAAAUCCUGUAAUCCUUCGGGGAGGACCAGUGGCGAAGGCGUCACGCUAGAACGGCUCCGACAGUGAGGGACGAAGCCCUGGGGCGCAAACCGGAUUAGAUACCCGGGUAGUCCAGGGUGUAAACGCUGCAGACUUGGUGUCGCUGAUCCUACGAGGGUUGGCGGUGCCGUAGAGAAGUUGUUUAGUCUGCCGCCUGGGGAGUACGGUCGCAAGACUGAAACUUAAAGGAAUUGGCGGGGGAGCACCGCAACGCGUGGAGUGUGCGGUUUAAUUGGAKUCAACGCCGGRA